Non-coding RNA from Pelobates cultripes (western spadefoot toad), 555 nucleotides. NCBI's taxonomy places the organism in Eukaryota, Metazoa, Chordata, Amphibia, Anura, Pelobatidae. The record is from the annotation of a GenBank genome assembly.
AUAGAAUCAACCAAAAUAUAUGAACUUAUGGCAAGGAAAUCGAGACAGUCUCACCCCUACUGGACUGAAGCAUGGGACCUGUGGGACAAAACUAGGCCGCACCAACCAUAUAUAACACAACCCUGAAGCUGGAAACGGUACCUCCACGGCAGGAGGCUGAACUCAUUGCAAAUGACAGACUGAUACCUCACCACACUACUCCACACGGCAUACACACUCAUCCCAAUUCCCCUCCUAUCCCCUACCACCGCUAUGACGAGACAUCCAUAACCAUAUGCAACGCAAUAACCGGGGCCACGCUAAGCUCUGCCCGGCCCGCACGACCCCAUGACGAGAAAGCUCAUACUACACCAUUAAAAAGGAUGACACUAUGCACAAGACGCCCCUCACACCAACAAGGUGCUGUUACUAAGGGAUAACUACAACUGUGCAAACCCUGACAAACUACUGUAUUCAAACUGCAAUGCCUUAUGUGAUGUUAACCCACCCUAUUUACCUUCUGUACCCCCACCCCUUUCUCGACAAAAUAAAAAUUGUCAAAUUCAAAAAAAAAAA